CACAAGUCAUCAUGUUCCCUGUUAUACUGACAUUCAUGUGGCUUUUACUGAGUGACUCCAUGGCAGAUCCAAUAAAGCCACUUUUUACUGAUAAAGUUAUAAAUGAAGGUGAUGAUGUUACUCUGUCCUGCAGCUACAAAGACUUCAGUGGCACUGUAGAAAACCUGUACUGGUACAGAAAAUAUACAAAAUCUGAACCUGAGUUCCUAAUUUACAUCUUUCCACAUGGAGUUAAAAGUGACCCUAUCCAACCAAAUCUGUCUGCUGAAGUUAAGAAAGAUAUUAAACAAGUGGAUCUGCUCAUCUCCUCUGCUGCUGUAUCAGACUCUGCAUUAUACUACUGUGCUCUGAAGCCCACAGUGACAGGAAAUCCAACUGCACUGUACAAAAACCUUGACACAGUUUUGUCAUUUUAA
This is a non-coding RNA of Clarias gariepinus (North African catfish), 416 nucleotides long. The record is from the annotation of a RefSeq genome assembly. Lineage: Eukaryota; Metazoa; Chordata; Actinopteri; Siluriformes; Clariidae.